CCUACGGGGGGCUGCAGCAAGGAAUUUUCGGCAAUGGGCGCAAGCCUGACCGAGCAACGCCGCGUGGUGGACGACGGCCUUCGGGUUGUAAACACCUUUUGGGAGGGACGAUUGUGACGGUACCUCCUGAAUAAGCCCCGGCUAACUCCGUGCCAGCAGCCGCGGUAAGACGGAGGGGGCAAGCGUUGUCCGGACUCACUGGGCGUAAAGGGUGCGCAGGCGGCACGGCACGUUCGCGCUGAAAUCCCACGGCUUAACCGUGGGGCGCGUGCGAA
RNAcentral lists this ribosomal RNA (275 nucleotides) under uncultured bacterium. RNAcentral's name for it is "partial 16S ribosomal RNA". It matches the Rfam family "Bacterial small subunit ribosomal RNA", at positions 338 to 630 of the family's 1533-position model. The record is from RNAcentral.